UGUAAUUUGAAGAGAUUUGGGUCCGGCCGGCAGGGGUUAAGUCCACUGGAAAGUGGCGCCACAGAGGGUGACAGCCCCGUGAACCCCUUCAACGCCCUCAUCCCAGAUCUCCAAGAGUCGAGUUGUUUGGGAAUGCAGCUCUAAGUGGGUGGUAAAUUCCAUCUAAAGCUAAAUACCGGCGAGAGACCGAUAGCGAACAAGUACAGUGAUGGAAAGAUGAAAAGCACUUUGAAAAGAGAGUGAAAAAGUACGUGAAAUUGUUGAAAGGGAAGGGCUUGCAAGCAGACACUUAACUGGGCCAGCAUCGGGGCGGCGGGGAGCAAAACCACCG
Molecule: ribosomal RNA, 331 nt
Filed under: Metschnikowia pulcherrima
Lineage: Eukaryota; Fungi; Ascomycota; Pichiomycetes; Serinales; Metschnikowiaceae
Description: LSU rRNA
Rfam family: Eukaryotic large subunit ribosomal RNA
Source: RNAcentral